RNAcentral lists this ribosomal RNA (200 nucleotides) under uncultured bacterium. RNAcentral's name for it is "partial 16S ribosomal RNA". It matches the Rfam family "Bacterial small subunit ribosomal RNA", at positions 8 to 205 of the family's 1533-position model. The record is from RNAcentral.
AGAGUUUGAUCCUGGCUCAGAGCGAACGUUAGCGGCGGGCCUAACACAUGCAAGUCGAGCGAGAAAGGGGUUUCGGCCCUGAGUAAAGCGGCGGACGGGUGAGUAACACGUAGGUAAUCUUCCCUUGAGCGGGGGACAACGGUCCGAAAGGACCGCUAAUACCGCAUACGUUUCUGGGGCCCUUGGGCCUCGGAAGGAAA